Molecule: ribosomal RNA, 486 nt
Filed under: uncultured bacterium
Lineage: Bacteria
Description: partial 16S ribosomal RNA
Rfam family: Bacterial small subunit ribosomal RNA
Source: RNAcentral
AUUGAACGCUGGCGGCAUGCCUUACACAUGCCAGUCGAACGGCAGCACGGGUGCUUGCACCUGGUGGCGAGUGGCGAACGGGUGAGUAAUACAUCGGAACAUGUCCUGUAGUGGGGGAUAGCCCGGCGAAAGCCGGAUUAAUACCGCAUACGAUCUACGGAUGAAAGCGGGGGACCUUCGGGCCUCGCGCUAUAGGGUUGGCCGAUGGCUGAUUAGCUAGUUGGUGGGGUAAAGGCCUACCAAGGCGACGAUCAGUAGCUGGUCUGAGAGGACGACCAGCCACACUGGGACUGAGACACGGCCCAGACUCCUACGGGAGGCAGCAGUGGGGAAUUUUGGACAAUGGGCGAAAGCCUGAUCCAGCAAUGCCGCGUGUGUGAAGAAGGCCUUCGGGUUGUAAAGCACUUUUGUCCGGAAAGAAAGCCUUGGCCCUAAUACGGUCGGGGGAUGACGGUACCGGAAGAAUAAGCACCGGCUAACUACGUG